RNAcentral lists this ribosomal RNA (471 nucleotides) under uncultured bacterium. RNAcentral's name for it is "bacterial SSU rRNA". It matches the Rfam family "Bacterial small subunit ribosomal RNA", at positions 28 to 507 of the family's 1533-position model. The record is from RNAcentral.
GACGAACGCUGGCGGCGUGCUUAACACAUGCAAGUCGAGCGGGGGAUACAAGGGAGCUUGCUCCUGAGUAUUCUAGCGGCGGACGGGUGAGUAACGCGUGAGCAACCUUUCUCUCAGUGGGGAAUAACACAGGGAAACUUGUACUAAUACCGCAUAAGCGCACAGUACCGCAUGGUACAGUGUAGAAAAACUCCGGUGGCAUACGAUGGACCCGCGUCUGAUUAGCUAGUUGGUGAGGUAACGGCCCACCAAGGCGACGAUCAGUAGCCGGCCUGAGAGGGUGAACGGCCACAUUGGGACUGAGACACGGCCCAAACUCCUACGGGAGGCAGCAGGUGGGGAAUAUUGCACAAUGGGGGAAACCCUGAUGCAGCGACGCCGCGUGAGUGAAGAAGUAUUUCGGUAUGUAAAGCUCUAUCAGCAGGGAAGAAAAUGACGGUACCUGACUAAGAAGCCCCGGCUAACUACGUG